CCUUGGUUGAUGGUAGGGCCCACUGAAAGCAGUUUCCUGUGUCCAAUUCCCUCUCAAUCACAGAUCUCAAAUCGUUUUAUAUCAACCCCUUUGCUUCCACCAUUGUAACACGCUCCCAGCUUCUCUGCGGCGAUCUGCAUUCUCCUCCAGACCUCCACUCCUGCUGCUGCGUUGCGUGCAAGUUCUCAAUCUUGCAUAUGUGAUUGACCUAAAGACUAUACCAAUUGCCGAUGCCGCUGAAAAUUCUACACCAAAAGAAAAAGAAAAGAUUGUUCAAUUGAAGAAGAAACAUGAUGAAGAUAUUUUUGCAUGUCGAGGUCGUAUUCUCAAUAUUUUAUCCGAUCGACUCUGUGAUCUCUAUAUGUCAAUUCAAUCACCAUUGGAGAUUUGAAAAUCUUUGAAAAAAAGUAGAAUAUUAAAUGACAAAAAACAUAUAAGUUUAUUAUGAUGAAAUAUUUCGAAUUUAUUAUGAAUGAUACUAUGUUUGUUA
Long non-coding RNA from Arachis stenosperma, 490 nucleotides. RefSeq lists it as uncharacterized. The record is from RefSeq and is a predicted model, not a curated record. NCBI's taxonomy places the organism in Eukaryota, Viridiplantae, Streptophyta, Magnoliopsida, Fabales, Fabaceae. The transcript has 2 exons.